CCCAGUAUUUACACAGCCUUUAAUGCUCCUGAUGUCAGCGUGGAGAUGUGUUAAUAACCCAAUUAAAGUGCUCACCCAGCUAUGCCAAAUCCCAGCGCUCGGGGAAGGCCGGGCCGGCGCGUUCGGCCUUGCAAUGCCUGGGCCGCGUUGCAGCACGCCAAAGCCACGUCCCUGUGGCUGCCACGCAACCCCAGCUCAUCCCCACAGGGGUCUUGAGCAGGGUGGAGGCAGUGAAGAGCUAAAAUCUACAGCUGGAUGGGCACUGAACACCCCCAGCACUUCCUGAGCGUGUCAGGGGCACAGGGACACACGAGGCCCUGUGGGAGACGUGGCAGAAGGUGCUCAGCCCGUGGCCUUCAGAGCAUUCCUGAAGAACAGAAGGAACCUCCUAGAGAGACAGCCCUCGCUGUGAAAAACUCCACGUUCACAUCUCUCUGCCACAGCCCCAGGACUGCAGAACCCACACGGGACUGAGCAGCCACGACCUUGGGUUUGCAUCCCAGCCCUUUCCAGUGGACACAGAGCAAUCCAGGGAGAGCCUGAGCCUGGGAAAGCUCUGCACAGCCCAGCCCAGCUCUCUGGUGGUCGCCCUCUGGGCCACAGCAGAGCUGCUGCUCUUACCCUGGCUGGGGCAAAGGCAGCCAGGAUUUAUGGCUUUUGGAUUUUAUGGAUUUUAUGGGCUCCCAGUGCUGCUCCAAGCCCCCGAAUGAAUACACAGGAACCCCCAGCUCCCUGAUCCUGCCCAAUCUUAGGAAAUCAGAGGAGAUGGAUUUUCCCUCAGACAUCACAACUGCAGUAGAGUUUGGGAGGCAAAUACAGAGCCCCUGGCUCUGAGCCAAGGGAGUAAGCCUGGGAUAGGUUUUCUUUCAAGAAUUCCAACUCAUUCAUGUUACUUUCUUAAUGAUCCAAAGUCUUCAAGGAGUUGCCUUUCAGCUUCAGCUCCCUUUCAAUAUUUGUCAUGUGUGUCAGAGUUGAUUCUUCAUGUUUCCUCUGUAGUUUUAAUGUUCUCAAGGAGAAACUUCAUUCCUUAGACAUUUUAAAGAUAUUUUUUCCCCCCACUGGUUUCUUUUUUUUAAUGGAAGAAAAGAAGAUCCCUUGUAAAGCAAACAGGGGUGAGAGCAGAGGGAAGUGUGUCUCAUUUGGAGAUGCUAACAAAGAAAUCUUAACAAAUGACUGGAGAAGGCCAUGGAACCACUAAUUCUUCAUCUUAUUUGGAUGGACAAGCAAUAAUCUACAAGCAGUGACCACUUGUCCACCACUUCUGAGUCCUUGGAAACCCCGAGAGAAUGCUGGCCCUGCCGAGGAGCAGGACUGGGAACAGAAGCCUCCCUUCAUCCAGCUUUUUUCACAACCUGCCCCCACCUCUGGAAACCCAAGGAAAGGCCAAAAGGUCUCUGCUGAGCCACCAGGGUGGAGUAUGACGAGUCCUGUCUUGAUGAAAGACUUGACAAGAGCAAGGCAGAGAGAGCAAGGUUGGGAGGCCAACCCAGCAAAGCUCUGUAGGUGCCUGCCCAGGCAAAGCCUGAGUGUUGCAAAUUAAACACUCAGCAAAGCUUGGCUGAGCCCUGAGAGGCAGAACCCCCUCCAAACACCCACCCUGAGCUCCAAGGGAGUCACACCAGAAGGAGCUUCCACAGCCAAGAGAGACAGGAGAGCACCUGGAGUUUUGGGAUGUGGGAUGGGAUUUUUGUUUUCCCCGGCAACGGAAAUCGUGUAUGGCUGCACUGAGAAUUAGAUCAGGAGACUUCAAAGGGCUGAAUCACAUCUCAGUCUGCUCUGGGACUGGCUCUGCUCAGCCUCAAGCCUUAUCAGGCCAGUUUGGCUAGGUGAUUGCAUUUCACACUCUAAACACAAUUCUUUUCCUAAUUGUCUAUAAACUACGCCUACAGCUUUCUGCCACUUGCUUUUGCCAGCAGCUGACCUGUUGAUGCUCAAGCAAAGAAAAAUAUCUCUGAAAUUAGCUAAGAAAAUAAAACUGGGCAAUCAAAGGCUUCAAGACAGGCAGCAAAGCUGUGCAGAGCACCAGCUGGGUGCCCUGGUUCAAGCUUUAACUUGGUCUGCUACUAUUUACUCUCAUUAAAUCCAGAGUCGUCUGGCUUCAUUUGGUUUGCCAGAAAUUUGCUUUAGGAUAAUUUAGAUCAGAGUCACCAGGCUUUCCCCCACCACCACCUUUUUAGGACAGAGGAUAAUAAUAGAGGAUUUUUUUUUUUUUUCCAUGAAAGCAUAUGCAAUUUCCUCUCUAACCAUCCAAAACAAAUAAUCAGGAGAUUUCCCUGUGUUUACAAUGGGUCUUUCUACUGACCUUCCCUGCAAAGCACUUUAGGAGAAAUCAGUGAAAAAUACUCCAUGAGAAGUGGGUCACAAUUGCUGUUAUUGUUACUCAGAAAUUAUGUAGUGUCUGAUCUGAAACCAGACACAACAACUGAGGGCUUCUUUUUGCCCUUUUCAUAACAAACCAAUUCUAUUUAACAGUAAAUACAGUUAAAUGGGAAUAAAUCUGGUUUGUACAGAGAGACGUUGCAUGUUUAUUAAUAAUCUUUGUGUUUGGUGUUUAGAGCAGUUCCAAAUCUGAGCUGUAGCAAUGUAUAAUAACUUUUCUCUUGGCAUGGUUGAGUCACUGGGACUGACUUGGCUCUGCCACUCUUUUUGAACAACCAUAAUUACAUCAGUUUCAAGCUGGCUACAUGAGCCUCAAUUUGGAGCAAAGCAAAGAUGGACAAAAUUGAGAGUAAUUGUUUCAGAUGUCGUGGGCAAAGAGAUUUAUUCAGCCCCUGAUUUGAGGAAUUUGACAGAUUUCUUUACCUUUUACCUCAGUUUUGGGAGGAAAUGCUGGGGCUGCUUUUAAGUCACAUCACUGGGAUUUGGGAGUUCUUGCUGUGAAUCCUCAGCACAAGGAUGCCUCACCUGCACUGCCAAGAACAGGUUGUAAGGGAAAUAAAAGCAUCCUUUUGGGUGAGUGUAGAGAGGACAGUUUAGGCAAAGGUUGCAUUUGCUGGAGGUGAAAUUCCACCUCCCCUAAUUCCCCAAACCAUAGAUUUUAUCCAGCCCCUCCCCAUAGAACCAAAGGGUGAUUUCACCAAAGCUUGAGCCUCAAGUGUCUGGGAGCUCCAGCCCUCUGGUUUUGUGUCCUGGCAGAUCCUGGAGAUAAUUUUGAUGGCCAGCUCAGAGCAGAAACUGGGCUGCUGUGUGAUGAGUGUUGAUGGAGGUGAAUCUACACAAAGUGCCCUGCCCAGAUUUGUGUGAGUAAGGAUGGAAAGAGAACCCUGGGAACCAGAACCCUCCCCUCUGAGCUUUGGGGAUGUGAUUAUGAAAUGUUCCAAAUCAUCACCCAGGUCCUGCCAGGAGCUGUGGGUCCAUACUGCCCUCAGGACUCAGAUCCUGUCAUGGAAAUGAGGGAGUGUUUCUGCUGAGCUCAAAAACCACAGUUUGAGGCUCCUGUUCCCAUGGUGAGGCUGAUCCUCAGUGCCUGCUCCUUCAGGGGGGUCUCACUCCUGUGGAGCUGUUAAUGACACAAGGACCAAAAGGAGAGAGAGCACAGGAUCGUGGAAUGGUUGGGCUUGGAAGGGACCUUAAAAAUCAUCUUGUUCCACCCCUGCCAUGGGCAGGGACACCUUCCACUGUCCCAGAUGGCUCCAAGCCCCAUCCAGCCUGACCUUGGACACUUCCAGGGAUCCAGGGGCAGCCACCUGUGCCAGGACCUCCCAAAGAAGAAUUUCUUCCUAGUAUCCAAUCCAAGCCUCUUCUUUUCCAUUGUGAAGCCAUUCCCCCUUGUCCUGUCACUCCAGCUCCUGGUGAAGGAUCCCACUCCAGCUUCCUUGUAGCCUUUGCAGACUCUGGGAAGUGCUGUGAGAUCUCCACACAAUUUUCUCUUCUCCAAGCUGAGCAGUCCCAUCUUUCUCAGCCUGUCUUCAUAGAGGAGGUGCUUUUGUCCCCUUAUCAACUCCAUGGCCUCACCUGAACUUUUCCCAACAGCUCCAUGCUCGUGUAUUGGGGGCAGCAGAACAGGAUGCCAGGUGGGGUCUCACAGGAGCAGAGCAGAGGGGCAGAAUCCCCUCCCCUGGCCUGUUCUCAGGCUGGUUUUCAGGUAGGACAGGGAAGGGCAGCACUGGAGCUCUCCUCCAUUUAAUUUUCUGCAGGACUACCAUGACCACCCAAUCCAACCCUGCACAGCUCAGGCAGACAGAGAAAGGCACAACAAGAAGUGAGAGAAAGCAGAGAUGACAAACCCCGACUUUACCUGUUUUAUCAGUUUACCUUUAGGCAGGUGGAUGCUUUCUGGUGCCCAGUCCUCACUCCUGGCUGGGUUUCUGCUGUGCUGAGGAACGGGUGUAGCAGCAGCUGGGACACGUGGCAGGACAGCACCAGCUUCUGCAGGGGAUGAAGAGCUCCUUACACACUGUGAGAUCCCAAAUCCAUCACAUGGAGCCUAAUGAGGGGGCUGAGCCAGGCCAAAUACAACUGUUUAACAGUUUAUUUUAACCAUCCAAUGAGAGCAAAACAACUUAAAAGGAUUCAUGCUGCCAACAAUCUUUUCCCUUUUUUUUUUUUUUCCUCUUCUUCCCCUCCUUGCAUGGCAUUUGUUAGAAAUCAGGAUUUUUCUUAACUAAAUGUCUUGUGGUCUCCUUAGCUUUGUUUCUUAACAGGGUUGUCUUUAUGUUAGUUUUCUUUGGCUUCCCAAUAGAAGAGUAACAGAUUUCUUUUGAAGUUUUUAUUGAUGAAUGAGCUCCUAUAAAUAACUCUCUGUGGCAGCAGCUUGAUCUCAGAGUUUACUCUGGAAUAAUAGUAGCAAUGGGAAUGGAGGAAAUUUAUGGCAGCAUGACAUGAAAUAGUUUAAUGGGCUUCAUACUGUUUAACUUAAUCUUUACAGAUGUAAAAACAGAAAUACAAUUAUUGUAACAACUAUUAUUACAUAUUGCUCUUCUAAGGAAAACAGAAACUCAGUAAGCAACUGGAGAUAGGUAGUGAAGAAUUAGGGGGUCCAGCUCACCGUGGAUUUGGGAAUUCCUGGGUUGGGCCAGUGGAUUUGCAAAGGCUCAUCCGGAGAGCUCUGGGAAGGAUGGGUCUGCAGGUGGGAUUUGGCACUGCCACAGCAAGCUGAGGCACGGGAUGUAGGUGCUGGAAGCUGCUAGAGCCAGUGGAAGUGGCGGAGCUCUGACUUUGGAAGGAGAAGAAAUCUUACUCCUUAUUCCACCUGGGUGCUAGGGGAGGAGCUGAUCCCAAUCCCACCAGAGGCAGUGGGGGUACUUGGACACGUCCCUUGUGUCCUGUAGCCCCAUGAGGGGCACAGCUGGAAUCCUCCCACUUCUGGAGCAGAAACACUCCACUCACAGCAACCAAAGGAUGGGAAGAAUGGAGGGAGUUCAUCAAAAGUCACCUGGUAAAAGAGAAUUUAACUGUUUAUCACAUGUCUGCUCAUCAAGGGUUUGCUCAGGUCUCUCAGACAAUGUCACUUGUGGCAAAGGUGUCUCUUUAAGCCAUGGGAGCUUAGGAAAGUGAAAAUUUUCUGUCUAAAAAAAUGUAAAAAUUUUAAUAAGUUUCUUUAUAAAAAUUUUCUGUCUAAAUGUCCAACCCAGAGGCCAGCUGGCAUUUCACCCAGCCCAGCAUCCAGCUGGGGGAUGUUUGAGCCAAUGUGCAAGAGGUGGGUGUAAAACCCAGUAUCAGAAUUCCUAGGAAAGGUCACAAGGCCUAAUCCAAACCUGAGAUUUGGCUCGUGCCCAAGCCCAGCUCCAUUUGCUUCUCAAAGAGCUUGGGUAAAUAUUGAAACAUGUUGGUGCUCUGCGUAAUUUCUGUAAAAAAAAAAGCUGACAGCUUUUGUUUCCUCCUUGAGGGAGCAUUAUUUGAAACCAAACUGCAGUGAAAAUGAUCGGCAUUGUGCAUUUCCAACUGUCUGUUCAGUGGGAAAUUUGUAUCCUCCAAUCCACGGAAAUCGCCCGUGCGAGAAAGAGCUCGCAAAUUCUCCCUCGAUUUCCAAAAAUGUGGGAAAGUUUAUUUAUUUCUCCAUGCAUUCCUGAUUCGCAAUGUGCUCUCUAAAAAUGUCCCUAAGAUUUAGGCUAACCGAGCUCAUGCUAAAUUUAGCAACUAUAUUUUAAAUAAACAUUCUUUACGCUUUGCUGAGCCGGCUUUGAAGCUGCCUUAAAACAAAUGGUGUUCACAUGAACAUGGGCAAUGUUUGACUUUGGCCUAAGAGAACAUCUGAAUAAGUAAUAAUGUAUUAUUCGCUGUAAUCCGAAAAUGAGAUUUUAGAGGUCUCACUCAGUCAAUUUAGGAGAGAUUCCUGUGAGGGAUAGGCUGGAUUGUUUCUGGAAGAGCCCGUUCUGUUCUCUCUGACCACACAAAACUUCCUCUUGGUGUCUUGUUAGACACUGGAGCUGCGAGGCUCAGGGAAAUCAGCUGUGACUUAGCACGCACUGCAUUUGAGGAAUCUGGCCCAUUUUAAAGCACUUAAUGAUUUGUCUGGAUAAAGCACUAAAAAUAUACUGUGGGGAGCAAUUAUGCAACGUCCAGACUGAUGGAUUGCAUAACCUCAUAGACCUUUUCCAUCUGUAACUUCUCUCAUUCUGUGAUCUUGUCUUCUUGGUCUUUCACUUCAAAUCAAAUAUGUGAUCUGUUUAAUAUCCUGAAUGCUGUCUCCUGGGAGAUCUCUUCUCUGGGUGUGUGGGGCUAUGAAUCAAGUGAGGAAGCAGAUCCUUCUUCCCUUUUUUGCUCUGGGAUUUGGCUGCUCCUCACACCAGGCUUAGGAGCGGGCAGCAGGAAGCCAGUGGGUUUUGGUGUGGAAAGGGAUGGACCCUCCUUUAUGUGUUUUCUGUGGUAAAGAAUGGAAAGAGAAUUAAAUUUUAAAAUGGGGGAAGGAGAAGAGGCUACAAAGUCCCUCAGAUUUAUGGCACCUUGGAAUCAAGCAUGGACAGCCACACCUUGAGUGACAAACCCUGAAAGUGGCUUCUGGUCAGGCUUAAAUACUUGAUUAUAUUUUAUCCAUGCUGUGAGACCAACUUUAGGAGAACACACACUGAGCCUGUUUAAAGACUGGAAGCCCCAUUUAUGAGGAAUUAAACUCCGGAAUUAUUUUAAUAUGCCCAAUUUUCAGUUCCCCUCAUAGGAAACUCACGUUUGGAGCAAAGCCCCUCUGGGAACCAAACAGCUCCUCUGAGAGCCUCUCCCACUCUGUGAUCUCCCUGCUCCUAGGAGUUAAAAUUGGCUGCAGAGCUGGGAGAGGAGAAACCUUGCUGGGCUGGGAGAGGUCAUUCCUCUGCAGAGGAAGGGGAAGGCAUCUCCAUCGCCCACACAGGCAGUGUGCUGUUUAUCCUGCAUCCCAGGCUACUUCCACUUCUCCCCAGUAUUCCAGACUGGUGUUUAUAACCAGCCCUGAGAGGCUGGGAAAGCCAGGAAGAGGAAGAUUCCAGGGAUGAGUGAAAUGCUGGGUGGCAGUUCUGAGCUUGGCAGUGGUUUUCUGGCUUGUGAAGCAGGUGUGAGACCAUUGGCACCAAUUCCUUGCAGCUCCUCAGGUCCUCGAUGUUUCCGUGGCACCAAAAUCCACGUGGAUGUGGAGAGGAUUAAAAGAUGCUCAGCCCCAUGCAAAGGGCAGGAAUUGGUGAAUCGACUGCACACCCAUUGCUGUGCUGUUGUUUUUACUGUGUGUUUUUAUUUUAUGUUUUUACUGUAUGUUUUUAUUGUACCAUGACUUCUCCCCUCUCUAUAAACAGAUGACGUGCAGAAGCCGUGUGUGGUUACUCAUCCAGCCUGCUGGCAAUAAGACCCUUUUUCUUGGUAUUUAUCCCCUGUUACAGCACUGGCCUGAUCCCAAUUAAUUCCAAAUUGCCCCUCAGAACUGCUCACCGGGUUCUGAGCUCAUUGGAGUUAGUGUCACUUUUGUGCAGAGCAUGUUAAGUUUACUAAUUUCACUCCCUCGAGCGGAACCAAAAUCAAGCUCAAUGUGGCUUUUAAAGGCUGCAGCUGCACUUGGUCCCACUCCACUCCACCAAAACAGAAAUAAGAUCAAAUGUCAAAGCAAAGCUUCGCAAAGAAACAAAUUCCCAUUGCUUAGGAAAAGCUGGUUCUCCAAAAAAACGUGUCUGUGAUAAAAAUAUACGUCGUGCAUUAAACUGAGACUUGCUUUUUUUCACCACUAAAAAACUGCUCUUGUGCAGAAAGGGCUGGGACAGGGAGAGGUCCCACAUGUGUGAGUAGGAAAGGAAUAAAAGCCCUGUUUGCAGGUCCAAAAAGGCAUUUUGGGGGCUGGAAUAGGAGCUGAGAGGUGACAAAACUGGGGGUCACAGCUGGGAGACCAGCUUAGGAGAAAGGGAAAGAGAAGAGCUCAAGACAGAGGUUAAAAGUGGUGAUGAAGCAUAAAUAUCCAUUUUUGGGGGGUGAAACCUUUCCAUGGGCUGGGCUGUGGGGACACCAGGGAUGCAGGGUCCCUCCCUGUGGGAAGGGCUUGAUGGAGACCCAUCAAACAGUUCCUGGAGGCAGCAUCAACCUCCCACCCCACCCCGAGCCCAAAUCCCCACACGGCGGGUGCAGGGGGGAUCUGAGGGCUCUGCUGGGCUCAUUUCCCUCCCCUGCAGCCUCCUGUGGGUGGUGUCAGUGCCAGCCUGGAAUGGAACCUCCUGGCCAGGUGACCCCUUCUGUACCUGGCACCUGUCCCUGAUGCUCACAGGAGUGGCACUGCAGGGCCAGGGGUGGACAUUGAACCCUCUCAGCACUCACCCAGUCCUGGGAAUUAUGGUGGGGACUGAGCUGUGACACCUUCACAACCUUUUGAAAGUGUUUCUUCAUUUUCUACUGCAGUGCCAGAACUUUAAAUAAUGGACUCAAUAGAUAUUCAAACAGCAGCUGCCAGAAAUAGAAAGCUAAUAAGGGAUUUUAUUAAAAUAAAGUCUAUUCUGCAAAUCUGAUUUUAAAAAAGAAAAUCUAUUUUUUAAUUCUCUUUUUUCCACAUUGAGAAGCUCCAGCUCAGCUAUCCAGGGAUCUGCCUAUGAGCAUAAAUUUUUUGGGGAAGCUAAAUAACAAUUCUCACCUUUUGGAGAUUUUCUGUCCUUCCCCACGUGAGAGUUCUUUGCCUUGGGCUGAAAUGAGCAACCCUGGUCCAAACAUCAAGGAAUUGAUGCCAACCUUCCUCUGCAAAAACUGAACCAAAACUCACCUGAAAACCCCACAUUUCCAAUAUCCAGGUGCUCAUUUAAGAGCAAGCUUUGCUUUUGAGACGGGGUGGGUUGAAAUGAAGGGGAAGAGAAGGAGGAACAAUCAUUUGGGGAAAGAUUUCAUCAGUUUCAAGGAACAGGCAAUUUCCCAGGAGCCUUUUUGUAGCCUCUCCCAUCUUUUUGUGGCCCGUCAUGUCAGCAGCAGGCCCCACUCCUCCAUCCUCCAGCACAAGCCAAGGGGUGUUUCACAUCACACCAGCCACAAUCCUGAACAAAAAUACCUUUAUUGGAUAUAGGUUCGGUUUCAUAAUGAAAACUGAGAAUAUAAUUUUUUUCCCCCAAAAGGGCAUUUAUCCACGAAUAUACAAAGAGCCUCUAUUUAUGGCAAACAAAAAUACAAAAUAUUCCUGAUUUCCUGCAAUGUGUCAGGAUUCUCCCUUCUUUUCAAAAAUAAAA
Haemorhous mexicanus (house finch) is the source of this 9593-nucleotide long non-coding RNA. RefSeq lists it as uncharacterized. The record is from RefSeq and is a predicted model, not a curated record. The transcript has 2 exons. Lineage: Eukaryota; Metazoa; Chordata; Aves; Passeriformes; Fringillidae.